Molecule: ribosomal RNA, 441 nt
Filed under: uncultured bacterium
Lineage: Bacteria
Description: partial 16S ribosomal RNA
Rfam family: Bacterial small subunit ribosomal RNA
Source: RNAcentral
CCUACGGGAGGCAGCAGUGGGGGAUAUUGCACAAUGGGGGGAACCCUGAUGCAGCGACGCCGCGUGGGUGAAGGAGUGCUUCGGCAUGUAAAGCCCUAUCGGCAGGGAAGAAGCAAGACGGUACCUGACUAAGAAGCCCCGGCUAACUACGUGCCAGCAGCCGCGGUAAUACGUAGGGGGCGCGCGUUAUCCGGAUUCACUGGGUGGAAAGGGAUCGUAGACGGCCAUGCAAGCCAGGGGUGAAAGCCCGGGGCCCAACCCCGGGACUGCCCUUGGAAAUGCACGGCUGGAGGGCGGGUGGGGCAGGCGGAAUUGCUGGUGUAGCGGUGAAAGGCGUAGAGAUCAGGCGGAACACCGGCGGCGAAGGCGGCCUGCUGGGCCGCGACUGACGUUGAGGCUCGAAAGCGUGGGGAGCGAACAGGAUUAGAUACCCCUGUAGUG